GUGGGAAGUUUAGGCAAAUCCGGGCUUCCUUAACACAGAGAGAUGAUGACGAGGCUCUACGGAGCUGAAGUAACUGAUACCACACUUCCAGGAAAAGCCACUAAGCGAAAGGCUUUACUAAACCGUACUGAAAACCGACACAGGUGGUCAGGUAGAGAAUACUCAGGCGCUUGAGAGAACUCGGGUGAAGGAACUAGGCAAAAUAGCACCGUAACUUCGGGAGAAGGUGCGCCGGCGUAGAUUGUAAGGGCUAGCCCCUGAAGGUUGAACCGGUCGAAGAUACCAGCUGGCUGCAACUGUUUAUUAAAAACACAGCACUCUGCAAACACGAAAGUGGACGUAUAGGGUGUGAUGCCUGCCCGGUGCUGGAAGGUUAAUUGAUGGUGUAAUCGCAAGAGAAGCACCUGAUCGAAGCCCCAGUAAACGGCGGCCGUAACUAUAACGGUCCUAAGGUAGCGAAAUUCCUUGUCGGGUAAGUUCCGACCUGCACGAAUGGCAUAAUGAUGGCCAGGCUGUCUCCACCCGAGACUCAGUGAAAUUGAAAUCGCCGUGAAGAUGCGGUGUACCCGCGGCUAGACGGAAAGACCCCGUGAACCUUUACUAUAGCUUGACACUGAACAUUGAAUUUUGAUGUGUAGGAUAGGUGGGAG
RNAcentral lists this ribosomal RNA (650 nucleotides) under Haemophilus influenzae. RNAcentral's name for it is "bacterial LSU rRNA". It matches the Rfam family "Bacterial large subunit ribosomal RNA", at positions 1524 to 2153 of the family's 2925-position model. The record is from RNAcentral. Lineage: Bacteria; Pseudomonadati; Pseudomonadota; Gammaproteobacteria; Pasteurellales; Pasteurellaceae.